GGGUGAGUAACACGUAAGUAAUCUACCUUCGAGUGGGGAAUAACGUUCGGAAACGAACGCUAAUACCGCAUAAUGCAGCGGCAUCGCAAGAUGACAGUUGUUAAAGAUUUAUCGCUUGAAGAGGAGCUUGCGGCAGAUUAGCUAGUUGGUAAGGUAAUGGCUUACCAAGGCAACGAUCUGUAUCCGGUCUAAGAGGACGGUCGGACACACUGACACUGAAUAACGGGUCAGACUCCUACGGGAGGCAGCAGUCGGGAAUUUUGGGCAAUGGGCGAAAGCCUGACCCAGCAACGCCGCGUGAAGGAUGAAGUUUUUCGGAAUGUAAACUUCGUAAGAAUAGGAAGAAUAAAUGACGGUACUAUUUGUAAGGUCCGGCUAACUACGUGCCAGCAGCCGCGGUAAUACGUAGGGACCAAGCGUUGUUCGGAUUUACUGGGCGUAAAGGGCGCGUAGGCGGCAAUUCAAGUCAGCUGUGAAAUCUCCGGGCUUAACUCGGAACGGUCAGCUGAUACUGCUUUGCUAGAGUGCAGAAGGGGCAAUCGGAAUUCUUGGUGUAGCGGUGAAAUGCGUAGAUAUCAAGAGGAACACCUGAGGUGAAGACGGGUUGCUGGGCUGACACCGACGCUGAGGCGCGAAAGCUAGGGUAGCAAACGGGAUUAGAUACCCCGGUAGUCCUAGCCCUAAACGAUGAAUACUUGGUGUCUGGAGUUUUUAUCCUCCGGGUGCCGUCGCUAACGUUUUAAGUAUUCCGCCUGGGGAGUACCCACGCAAGUGUGAAACUCA
RNAcentral lists this ribosomal RNA (783 nucleotides) under uncultured bacterium. Its description in RNAcentral is "bacterial SSU rRNA". It matches the Rfam family "Bacterial small subunit ribosomal RNA", at positions 104 to 903 of the family's 1533-position model. The record is from RNAcentral.